UUGUGAGGUUAAGCGACUAAGCGUACACGGUGGAUGCCCUGGCAGUCAGAGGCGAUGAAGGACGUGCUAAUCUGCGAUAAGCGUCGGUGAGGUGAUAUGAACCGUUAUAACCGGCGAUUUCCGAAUGGGGAAACCCAGUGUGUUUCGACACACUAUCAUUAACUGAAUCCAUAGGUUAAUGAGGCGAACCGGGGGAACUGAAACAUCUAAGUACCCCGAGGAAAAGAAAUCAACCGAGAUUCCCCCAGUAGCGGCGAGCGAACGGGGAGGAGCCCAGAGCCUGAAUCAGUGUGUGUGUUAGUGGAAGCGUCUGGAAAGGCGCGCGAUACAGGGUGACAGCCCCGUACACAAAAAUGCACAUAUUGUGAGCUCGAUGAGUAGGGCGGGACACGUGGUAUCCUGUCUGAAUAUGGGGGGACCAUCCUCCAAGGCUAAAUACUCCUGACUGACCGAUAGUGAACCAGUACCGUGAGGGAAAGGCGAAAAGAACCCCGGCGAGGGGAGUGAAAAAGAACCUGAAACCGUGUACGUACAAGCAGUGGGAGCCUCUUAAUGGGGUGACUGCGUACCUUUUGUAUAAUGGGUCAGCGACUUAUAUUCUGUAGCAAGGUUAACCGAAUAGGGGAGCCGAAGGGAAACCGAGUCUUAACUGGGCGUUAAGUUGCAGGGUAUAGACCCGAAACCCGGUGAUCUAGCCAUGGGCAGGUUGAAGGUUGGGUAACACUAACUGGAGGACCGAACCGACUAAUGUUGAAAAAUUAGCGGAUGACUUGUGGCUGGGGGUGAAAGGCCAAUCAAACCGGGAGAUAGCUGGUUCUCCCCGAAAGCUAUUUAGGUAGCGCCUCGUGAAUUCAUCUCCGGGGGUAGAGCACUGUUUCGGCAAGGGGGUCAUCCCGACUUACCAACCCGAUGCAAACUGCGAAUACCGGAGAAUGUUAUCACGGGAGACACACGGCGGGUGCUAACGUCCGUCGUGAAGAGGGAAACAACCCAGACCGCCAGCUAAGGUCCCAAAGUCAUGGUUAAGUGGGAAACGAUGUGGGAAGGCCCAGACAGCCAGGAUGUUGGCUUAGAAGCAGCCAUCAUUUAAAGAAAGCGUAAUAGCUCACUGGUCGAGUCGGCCUGCGCGGAAGAUGUAACGGGGCUAAACCAUGCACCGAAGCUGCGGCAGCGACGCUUAUGCGUUGUUGGGUAGGGGAGCGUUCUGUAAGCCUGUGAAGGUGUGCUGUGAGGC
RNAcentral lists this ribosomal RNA (1234 nucleotides) under Escherichia coli. RNAcentral's name for it is "partial 23S ribosomal RNA". It matches the Rfam family "Bacterial large subunit ribosomal RNA", at positions 1 to 1269 of the family's 2925-position model. Lineage: Bacteria; Pseudomonadati; Pseudomonadota; Gammaproteobacteria; Enterobacterales; Enterobacteriaceae. The record is from RNAcentral.